This 250-nucleotide ribosomal RNA is filed under the name uncultured bacterium. RNAcentral's name for it is "partial 16S ribosomal RNA". It matches the Rfam family "Archaeal small subunit ribosomal RNA", at positions 474 to 723 of the family's 1478-position model. The record is from RNAcentral.
CACCGGCGGCUCAAGUGGUGGCCGCUUUUAUUGGGCUUAAAGGGUCCGUAGCCGGGCCAGUUAGUCCUCUGGGAAAUCUUACGGCUUAACCGUAAGGCUGCCAAAGGAUACUGCUGGCCUUGGGACCGGGAGAGGCAAGAGGUACCUCAGGGGUAGGAGUGAAAUCCUGUAAUCCUUGAGGGACCGCCAGUGGCGAAGGCGUCUUGCUAGAACGGGUCCGACGGUGAGGGACGAAAGCUAGGGGCACGAA